Molecule: ribosomal RNA, 587 nt
Filed under: uncultured bacterium
Lineage: Bacteria
Description: partial 16S ribosomal RNA
Rfam family: Bacterial small subunit ribosomal RNA
Source: RNAcentral
UGGGGAAUUUUGGACAAUGGGCGAAAGCCUGAUCCAGCAAUGCCGCGUGUGUGAAGAAGGCCUUCGGGUUGUAAAGCACUUUUGUCCGGAAAGAAAUCCUUGGCUCUAAUACAGUCGGGGGAUGACGGUACCGGAAGAAUAAGCACCGGCUAACUACGUGCCAGCAGCCGCGGUAAUACGUAGGGUGCAAGCGUUAAUCGGAAUUACUGGGCGUAAAGCGUGCGCAGGCGGUUUGCUAAGACCGAUGUGAAAUCCCCGGGCUCAACCUGGGAACUGCAUUGGUGACUGGCAGGCUAGAGUAUGGCAGAGGGGGGUAGAAUUCCACGUGUAGCAGUGAAAUGCGUAGAGAUGUGGAGGAAUACCGAUGGCGAAGGCAGCCCCCUGGGCCAAUACUGACGCUCAUGCACGAAAGGCGUGGGGAGCAAACAGGAUUAGAUACCCUGGUAGUCCACGCCCUAAACGAUGUCAACUAGUUGUUGGGGAUUCAUUUCCUUAGUAACGUAGCUAACGCGUGAAGUUGACCGCCUGGGGGAGUACGGUCGCAAGAUUAAAACUUAAAGGAAUUGACGGGGUCAUAGCUGUUUCCU